UCUAAAUAGUUUAAAAAAAAUUUUGUCUUGUGGAGUCAAAGAUAUAUAAAUUAUAUUUUAGAUAA
RNAcentral lists this transfer RNA (65 nucleotides) under Coleoptera sp. ACP-2013. RNAcentral's name for it is "tRNA-His". Lineage: Eukaryota; Metazoa; Arthropoda; Insecta; Coleoptera. The record is from RNAcentral.